RNAcentral lists this non-coding RNA (24 nucleotides) under Arabidopsis thaliana (thale cress). Lineage: Eukaryota; Viridiplantae; Streptophyta; Magnoliopsida; Brassicales; Brassicaceae. The record is from RNAcentral.
AGCCAUACUUGUCGUCGCCGCCGA